UACAGAGGGUGCGAGCGUUAAUCGGAAUUACUGGGCGUAAAGAGCACGUAGGUGGUGGUUCAAGUUGGAUGUGAAAGCCCCGGGCUUAACCUGGGAAGGUCAUCCAAGACUGAGCGACUAGAGUAUAGUAGAGGGAAGUGGAAUUUCCGGUGUAGCGGUGAAAUGCGUAGAUAUCGGAAGGAACACCAGUGGCGAAGGCGACUUCCUGGACUAAUACUGACACUGAGGUGCGAAAGCGUGGGGAGCAAACAGG
Molecule: ribosomal RNA, 253 nt
Filed under: uncultured bacterium
Lineage: Bacteria
Description: partial 16S ribosomal RNA
Rfam family: Bacterial small subunit ribosomal RNA
Source: RNAcentral